RNAcentral lists this ribosomal RNA (490 nucleotides) under uncultured bacterium. RNAcentral describes it as "partial 16S ribosomal RNA". It matches the Rfam family "Bacterial small subunit ribosomal RNA", at positions 28 to 507 of the family's 1533-position model. The record is from RNAcentral.
GAUGAACGCUAGCGAUAGGCUUAACACAUGCAAGUCGAGGGGCAGCAUGGUCUUAGCUUGCUAAGACUGAUGGCGACCGGCGCACGGGUGCGUAACGCGUAUGCAACUUGCCUCACAGAGGGGGAUAACCCGUCGAAAGACGGACUAAUACCGCGUACACUUGGGAUAGGGCAUCCUGACCCAAGGAAAUGAAAUUCGCUGUGAGAUAGGCAUGCGUCCCAUUAGCUAGUUGGUGAGGUAACGGCUCACCAAGGCGACGAUGGGUAGGGGAACUGAGAGGUUGAACCCCCACACUGGUACUGAGACACGGACCAGACUCCUACGGGAGGCAGCAGUGAGGAAGAUUGGUCAAUGGGCGAGAGCCUGAACCAGCCAAGUCGCGUGAAGGAUGACUGUCUUAUGGAUUGUAAACUUCUUUUAUACGGGAAUAACAAGAGCCACGUGUGGCUCCCUGCAUGUACCGUAUGAAUAAGCAUCGGCUAACUCCGUG